This 912-nucleotide ribosomal RNA is filed under the name Triticum aestivum (bread wheat). Its description in RNAcentral is "partial small subunit ribosomal RNA". Lineage: Eukaryota; Viridiplantae; Streptophyta; Magnoliopsida; Poales; Poaceae. The record is from RNAcentral.
AUGUCGCGGACAACGUGCAGCUGCCCCAACAAGAAGUGUUUCCAAGGCAUUUGUGACUGUUUAAUAAGGAAUGCGGUAUGCUGUUCGGGAUGCAACUGCGGUGGUGACUGCCAGAACGACUUAUCUCUUGGAACAAUCAACCCGGCUGCUGCCCAAGGUACCACCCCAACGCUUGCCUCGGGCUCUUCUGCUAACCAAUCUGCCGCUGCCCAAGCUGCUGCUGACCAAUCUGCCGCUGCCCAAGCUGCCGCUCAACCACAACCUAAACCAUUGCCAGCACAAGAACCAGAGUCCAAGGGUGAAGCCAGGAAUACCUCCCCAUCAGCAGUCAAAAUGAAGUUCAUCGACCAGGGGUGCAGCUGCAGGACGAUCGGAUGUAACCACCACCGUUGUCCUUGCUUCACGCGCAAUGUCAGGUGCACCUCAAAUUGCAAGUGCCCAGCCACAAUCUGUGUUAAUCCCGUUGGGGCCAAAGGGGAUGAGUCCAACACUCAACCAGGAGGGCAGCAAGGUACCAGUGGCACACCUGACGAAGCAGUGUUGGAGCAAGAGUCACAGAUUGUGCAGCCAAGAGAUACCUUGUCAUUGGUGUCCACAAUGUCGGAGAGGACGUGUGGCUGCACCAACAGUGAUUGCUUCCAAAGCUGCGUUUGCUACACGACGAAUGUGAUAUGCUCUCCGGACUGCAAGUGCCAUGGUCACUGUCUGCACAACGUAGUUAAGAGGUGGUCUGCUGCCCAAGGUACCACUCCAACGCUUGCAUCAGGCUCUUCUACUGCCCAAGGCAUCUCUCAGACACGACCACUUGUCCUGAUCUCUUCUGCUGCCCAAGCUGCCGCUCAAACGCUUCCCUCGAGCUCUGUUGUGGCGGCGCUCGUGCCGGAUACGAAGACUAAGGCACUGCCAGCAUGA